This is a long non-coding RNA of Dromaius novaehollandiae (emu), 3663 nucleotides long. RefSeq lists it as uncharacterized. The record is from RefSeq and is a predicted model, not a curated record. The transcript is spliced from 4 exons. NCBI's taxonomy places the organism in Eukaryota, Metazoa, Chordata, Aves, Casuariiformes, Dromaiidae.
UAUAAUCUGCAGAAAUUGAGAAAAGCAUACACAUGCUUUAGAAUUUCCUACGUUUGGAAAUAUUUUCAGUUCCUGGUUUUAACCAAGACUAAAUGCAGACUAAACGCAAUUUGUCCUUUGAAGCACUCAGGCUCCGGGCCGCCGAAAUAUUUUCUUAGAGAAACUGAUGACAAUCUGCCGCAGUGACACCGAAAAAGCGCCCAGCUUACCGCUUUUCCAGGGAUAUUUAAAUUUCUGGACUAAGGCCCAACUUGGUACAAGGGCGUUAGGCAUAAAAUCCUCAGAUGUAAAUGGAUGAAGUCAAAGACAAAGAGAAGAACUGGUAGCAAGCAGCAAACAUCAGAAGCAGCGUUGACAUGGAGAGAGGUGGUGGUCUGAUGGAGGCAAGUGAGGCUGCAGUAUGCUCCUUUCUGUGGCAGCAGUGCAGUCUCCAUUUUCCAGCCGAUGUUGUGACAGACAUGUGGCAACGCUGGCAAGAGAAGCAUGUGAAAGCUAGUGCGGGGAGCUGGCACUGAGCUGGGUCCAGCAGUAGAGCAGAGAAACAUAAAUCUCUGCUAACUGAGGUGGUAAUUCUGCAUCCUCCAUUGGCUUCGUCGUUCUGAAGAUACUCAUUGGAAUAAGCUAACAGGAGCAGAGGUUUCUUUUUCAAAAAUACCUGAAAAUAAGAACAACAAAAAAAAUCUGUAAGUUCUUUGUAGAAGGACUGAAUGCUUUUUUCUCAAAGCCCUGCUUUUGUAAGGUUAAAACUGAAAACCCUUAAUAGAAGUACGCUAGUGAAACUAUACAGCUCCUUAUAGCUCGAUCCAAGUUCACUGAAACCGUUGACAAUUUCUUUCAUAUUAACUUAAGUGGACUUUGGACAGGACUUGGUAAUAACAAAAUGUCUGGCACUCUCAGGAAAACAGGUGGAUGAAUAGAUAACUAAGUAAAAAAAAAUGAACUUAUGCAUAUUUAUCGUGGACAGCUGCAAGCAAAAUCCCACUGUUUUAACCCCAUACCGCCUUGGUUACGUGCUGGCAUUCUUCGGCACUGAGCACCUGUUAUUUAUCGGUCGUAGCCCACCAGCGCUGCCGUAUGAGGAAGAACUGGCUGUGAUUGAUACAGACACCACCUCCGGCGCACGGCUCUGCGCGAGCAUCUCCCAGGGAAGGCAGCGGCAGUCAAGGCGAGAAAGGACUACGGGCUGACUGCUGAGCGUCGCCCUUCAAUUGUGGUACUUAUUUGGAAUAAAUAUGUGUGCCUCUUCGUCAUCUCUUAGAAAAGAAGGACAAAUUUGCAUAGGAAUAAUAAGAAAAGCAAAGUUACCAAAUAUGGCACCACACCCCCUACCUGUGAACAUGAUUUUUAAACUUUGCUUGGGCCAGUUAAAAAUAUCAGGUGUUCACCUGUACUGGAAAAACAUCAUGAUUUAGUGUAUGCCAUAGAGCUGAAUGUGUAGCAAAUUCAACUUUUCUGGUUAUAUUAUUAAGAGAGAAAUGACUGUAUUCUGUAAGUGAGGUUCUCAGUCGCUUUCAGUGCAUACGUAAAUAGCUCUGUAAGCGACAGAUUCCUGCACAGUCCUCAAACUUCCCAACCUCUAUUUCCAACUACAGUUCUAACUGUAGCUGGUGGCAUACAUAGUAUAAAUUAAAAUGAUAUCAUGGGGACCUUAAGGUUUCUCAUUCAUCUUUCCUCCCUUUUAAGGGGUCAUUACUGAAGUCACAACUAAAUAGUAGGUAUAAAUUUCCAGUGCCUGUUUGUUUGUUUUUAAUAUCCCCAGUAAUUCUUGCAGUCUUUUUUGUGGCAUUAUGCUGGAAGGAAAAGUGCUCCUCUCUCUGUGUUGGCCGUCAACUCAUCAGUUACCUAUUUUUUCCUGUCUUCUUUCAAAACAGUGGUUCACUCCUCAUCAAGCAGUACCAGUCAGAAUCUGUCCAAGAUGUAUUUUUAAACUCCAUAUAGUUUGGUUUUAACAGGACAAUUUUUUUUUUCCCAUUGGAAACCAUGCUGAAUUAGAGCAAGGAGCUGCAUGGAGCUUUGCAGAAAGCUAUUGCUGGACUGUGGGUUGUAUUACGGAGUUUUGAAACAGCACUGCUACCUAGAAAAACUCUGUCCCAUUUCAUAUUCUAGAGCGCCUUGUCCCUACUAGUUCACGUUAUCUAGCCGUUUGCCUUCACAGCCCCAAAAUGGUUUCUACAAUAAGACAACUAAGGGCACCAGCUGGUUUUACUGUCUGUUUUUUAAGACAGGAACAGACCAGCAAAAUGCCUACUAAUGGCUAACUUUACCUCCUUUACCCUUUCAGUGUAUCUUCAAUGCUUUGCUUGCUCCACAAAGGUUAUGCCAGGGAGAUCAAGCACACAGCAGAAAUAUGCCUUUCUAACACUAGAGAUGAAGCAUUGGACUCUUUUUAUUGCAUGUUAUUUAUCUCAUUUGGAAAAUGAAAUGGAGAUACAGCAAUGAACAUUUACUGGUGGACAGCAAAGACGAGGUCAGCCACAGACCAUUCAGUUCUGCUGAGGGCAGAAGAUGCCUGUUUCUGUAGCACCUCCGGACCUUUUCUCCGCAGAGGAAGCAGUGAGAUGGCGUGGCCCUGGGGACCUUGUGAGGGCACAGGCAGCAGCGCAGCCCGGUGGAGCCUCCCAUCGGUACGGCUACACGUUGGUGCGCAGUGGGACACAGCGGUGCUUCUGCCUCCACCCAAUAACCCACAUAGCUAAGGGCCUAUCCUACCCUAUGCGUGCCCAUGUGCAAUUUAUCCUUGGGUACAGCAGACACCUCUCCAGCCUUGAGCUUUGGGUUCACUGACUAUAUUUUGCUCAUGGGCAAAAGCUGAGGGGUGAAGGGGUGGUUAGGUGUUUUUUUUUCCCGACCUCUGCCAGGGCCACAGAUGAGAUGAAAGGGAAGCUGAGAUCCAGAGUAAUUGCACGACCCGCAGAGCUGGACCUCAGGGCACCGAGCCUGGAGUGUCUGUUCUUCAAUCCAGCCAUUUCACAGAGAUUUUAGCUCUCUCACAAGAGACAUACAAACAGAGGAAAUGGUCCUUAUUCUUUCUCUCCACAACACACUCUCCACUUAAGAGCAGCCAGACUUUGGCCUUCUGUUUCUCAUUAUGACUAAACAUUUAAAAUGUGGUUUGUAUUUUCCAGAAAGGGCAUGUUAUACACUUAAUUUAUAAAAGCCAGGAAGAAAGAGAGAGUCUUCUAGAUUCCUUCUGGUUCAGUGCUUUAUAUAAAUGUGAGAACUGAGGUGGUAUUAUUCCACGUCCUCCAGUGAUCAUUAGCUGGGUGUCUGUGUAUAUGCUGUUUGACAUAGUGAAUGAUUACAAAAAAUAUUUGUGGUACUGUUUUAUUUGCAAUAUGGUUAUGUGUAGGAGUCUUAUUAACAUUUCUUGAUAAGAAGACUAUAUACCUAGAGGGAAAAAGCUGCAAUAUGUGGAUGCUAUUUCAGUUCCUCAGCCCAGAUAUUUUUAGCACCUUCAUUUUUGGAAUAACUUCUCUCUUAGCUGUAUGAAACUUGGAGAUACACAAUACGUGCAAAGAAUGCAGGAAAAGACUUGUUUUACUUCAGCUAUGUAUAUGUACUGGGCUGCAUAGUACAGAGUGUGUAUUGGGAACUGGCUUAGAGUAGAGACUUGGCAGUACGUGGGUGUUCAUGGGACAAAUAAAUGAACAGUUUGUGCUGUUA